CAGUCGCCGCGGUAAUACAGAGGCCUCAAGCGUUGUUCGGAUUCAUUGGGCGUAAAGGGUGCGUAGGCGGUUCCGUAAGUCGGAUGUGAAAUCUUGGGGCUCAACCUCAAAACUGCAUUCGAUACUGCGGAGCUAGAGGACUGGAGAGGAGAGUGGAAUUCACGGUGUAGCAGUGAAAUGCGUAGAUAUCGUGAGGAAGACCAGCGGCGAAGGCGGCUCUCUGGACAGUUCCUGACGCUGAUGCACGAAGGCCAGGGGAGCAAACGGGAUUAGAUACCCGCGUAGUCCCUGUCUCUUAUAA
RNAcentral lists this ribosomal RNA (301 nucleotides) under uncultured bacterium. RNAcentral describes it as "partial 16S ribosomal RNA". It matches the Rfam family "Bacterial small subunit ribosomal RNA", at positions 509 to 809 of the family's 1533-position model. The record is from RNAcentral.